CCUACGGGAGGCAGCAGUGAGGAAUAUUGGUCAAUGGACGAGAGUCUGAACCAGCCAAGUAGCGUGAAGGAUGACUGCCCUAUGGGUUGUAAACUUCUUUUAUAUGGGAAUAAAAUGUUCCACGUGUGGGAUUUUGUAUGUACCAUAUGAAUAAGGAUCGGCUAACUCCAUGCCAGCAGCCGCGGUAAUACGGAGGAUCCGAGCGUUAUCCGGAUUUAUUGGGUUUAAAGGGAGCGUAGGUGGAUUGUUAAGUCAGUUGUGAAAGUUUGCGGCUCAACCGUAAAAUUGCAGUUGAAACUGGCAGUCUUGAGUACAGUAUAGGUGGGCGGAAUUCGUGGUGUAGCGGUGAAAUGCAUAGAUAGCACGCCGAACUCCGAGUGCGAAGGCAGCAUACCGGCGCUCAACUGACGCUCAUGCACGAAAGUGUGGGUAUCGAACAGGAGUAGAUACCCCGGUAGUC
Molecule: ribosomal RNA, 460 nt
Filed under: uncultured bacterium
Lineage: Bacteria
Description: partial 16S ribosomal RNA
Rfam family: Bacterial small subunit ribosomal RNA
Source: RNAcentral